CGCGGCCUAUCAGCUUGUUGGUGAGGUAAUGGCUCACCAAGGCAUCGACGGGUAGCUGGUCUGAGAGGAUGAUCAGCCACACUGGGACUGAGACACGGCCCAGACUCCUACGGGAGGCAGCAGUAGGGAAUAUUGCACAAUGGGCGAAAGCCUGAUGCAGCAACGCCGCGUGCGGGAAGAAGGCCCUAGGGUUGUAAACCGCUUUCAGCAGGGAAGAAAAUGACGGUACCUGCAGAAGAAGGUGCGGCCAACUACGUGCCAGCAGCCGCGGUGACACGUAGGCACCAAGCGUUGUCCGGAUUUAUUGGGCGUAAAGAGCUCGUAGGCGGUUCAGUAAGUCGGGUGUGAGAACUCUGGGCUCAACCCAGAGACGCCACUCGAUACUGCUGUGACUCGAGUGCGGUAGGGGAGCGGGGAAUUCCUAGUGUAGCGGUGAAAUGCGCAGAUAUUAGGAGGAACACCAGUGGCGAAGGCGCCGCUCUGGGCCGUAACUGACGCUGAGGAGCGAAAGCGUGGGUAGCAAACAGGAUUAGAUACCCUGGUAGUCCACGCCGUAAACGUUGGGCACUAGGUGUGGGUCUCAACCAACGAGAUCCGCGCCGUCGCUAACGCAUUAAGUGCCCCGCCUGGGGAGUACGG
RNAcentral lists this ribosomal RNA (639 nucleotides) under uncultured Actinomycetes bacterium. RNAcentral's name for it is "bacterial SSU rRNA". It matches the Rfam family "Bacterial small subunit ribosomal RNA", at positions 232 to 885 of the family's 1533-position model. Lineage: Bacteria; Bacillati; Actinomycetota; Actinomycetes. The record is from RNAcentral.